Aquila chrysaetos chrysaetos is the source of this 374-nucleotide long non-coding RNA. RefSeq lists it as uncharacterized. The record is from RefSeq and is a predicted model, not a curated record. The transcript has 2 exons. Lineage: Eukaryota; Metazoa; Chordata; Aves; Accipitriformes; Accipitridae.
GCUACUGAGUUUCUCAGUUCCCUUGUGCAUGGGUGUUUCUGCCUGUCUGUCUGGUGGUUUUCUGAUAAGAAAGACUGGUGUCAUUUCGGUAGUGGCUCUUCUUCUUGCGAAGCUGCCAUCGGCCACAGCCAUCCCCUGGGCAUUGCCCCGCAUCCUCCCCUCCAGAUGUCCAACCUGCCUGAGGAAAGCGCGCAAGCUCUUCAGCACUUGCCUUUGACAGCGGGGUUUCACAUUUCUGAGCUGGAUUACUAAAAUACGCUUCACUGGGGCUUCUCGCAAGCACACCUCAGAAGAUUCGGUUAGAGCAGAUUGGAACCGUUUACUUGGCUUUUAAUGCUAACCUCACUGAGCUUAGUAAAACUGCUCUGCAUGGA